UACGUAGGGUGCAAGCGUUAAUCGGAAUUACUGGGCGUAAAGCGUGCGCAGGCGGUUGUGCAAGACCGAUGUGAAAUCCCCGGGCUUAACCUGGGAAUGGCAUUGGUGACUGCACGGCUAGAGUGUGUCAGAGGGGGGUAGAAUUCCACGUGUAGCAGUGAAAUGCGUAGAGAUGUGGAGGAACACCGAUGGCGAAGGCAGCCCCCUGGGGCAAGAUUGACGCUCAUGCACGAAAGCGUGGGGAGCAAACAGG
Molecule: ribosomal RNA, 253 nt
Filed under: uncultured bacterium
Lineage: Bacteria
Description: partial 16S ribosomal RNA
Rfam family: Bacterial small subunit ribosomal RNA
Source: RNAcentral